Molecule: ribosomal RNA, 800 nt
Filed under: uncultured bacterium
Lineage: Bacteria
Description: bacterial SSU rRNA
Rfam family: Bacterial small subunit ribosomal RNA
Source: RNAcentral
AGAGUUUGAUCAUGGCUCAGAUUGAACGCUGGCGGCAGGCCUAACACAUGCAAGUCGAACGGUAACAGGAAUCAGCUUGCUGAUUCGCUGACGAGUGGCGGACGGGUGAGUAAUGUCUGGGAAACUGCCUGAUGGAGGGGGAUAACUACUGGAAACGGUAGCUAAUACCGCAUAACGUCGCAAGACCAAAGAGGGGGACCUUCGGGCCUCUUGCCAUCGGAUGUGCCCAGAUGGGAUUAGCUAGUAGGUGGGGUAAAGGCUCACCUAGGCGACGAUCCCUAGCUGGUCUGAGAGGAUGACCAGCCACACUGGAACUGAGACACGGUCCAGACUCCUACGGGAGGCAGCAGUGGGGAAUAUUGCACAAUGGGCGCAAGCCUGAUGCAGCCAUGCCGCGUGUAUGAAGAAGGCCUUCGGGUUGUAAAGUACUUUCAGCGGGGAGGAAGGGAGUAAAGUUAAUACCUUUGCUCAUUGACGUUACCCGCAGAAGAAGCACCGGCUAACUCCGUGCCAGCAGCCGCGGUAAUACGGAGGGUGCAAGCGUUAAUCGGAAUUACUGGGCGUAAAGCGCACGCAGGCGGUUUGUUAAGUCAGAUGUGAAAUCCCCGGGCUCAACCUGGGAACUGCAUCUGAUACUGGCAAGCUUGAGUCUCGUAGAGGGGGGUAGAAUUCCAGGUGUAGCGGUGAAAUGCGUAGAGAUCUGGAGGAAUACCGGUGGCGAAGGCGGCCCCCUGGACGAAGACUGACGCUCAGGUGCGAAAGCGUGGGGAGCAAACAGGAUAGAUACCCUGGUAGUCCAC